This 87-nucleotide transfer RNA is filed under the name Sphingobium fuliginis. RNAcentral describes it as "tRNA-Ala". Lineage: Bacteria; Pseudomonadati; Pseudomonadota; Alphaproteobacteria; Sphingomonadales; Sphingobiaceae. The record is from RNAcentral.
CUAUCGCCAUGGCAAGCUGCCUUACCGCUCGCUCCGGUUCCAGCAUGUCAGCCUGGACGUCGACCGGUUCCAGCCGGUGGCGGUGGU